Long non-coding RNA from Brassica rapa (field mustard), 9833 nucleotides. RefSeq lists it as uncharacterized. The record is from RefSeq and is a predicted model, not a curated record. NCBI's taxonomy places the organism in Eukaryota, Viridiplantae, Streptophyta, Magnoliopsida, Brassicales, Brassicaceae.
UUUUGAUCUCAGCUUAAUUCUGAGAAGAGCCCAUUUCAACGGACAUAUGCUGCUCAGUUAGGGAACGCAUGAAAAUCCAAGGUUCUGUCUAUGCCCACCGUCUGAACAUCUCUACAAGGAAGGUUCAAUGUGCUCGGUGAGUGGGUUUGACGUUACCGAAGCAACCACAACUUCAAGCUCUCUGAUUCUACAACGUCCAUAAGCAUCUCAAAUUGAUCCAAUAAAUAAGGCGAUGUUCUGGUUCCAUAAUCGUGACCUAGCUCUGCAAACACCAACACCUACCUCCCUUAUUUAACUCUCAACCAGGUAAGCUCAAAGUUUUCCAUUCUUAGUGAUCUGUUUCCAGAGCUUUAACUGAUAUAUAAUUCCAUGCUGAAUCUGUACCAAUUAUGAUGAGGUCUCUGGACCAAAUUAUAUUCCUGAAUGCUUGAGCUUACAUCUCAAAACUCUUCAACGGAUAUGCUAUUUAGAAUUACAUGAGGGAAAUAAGUUGCGGUUUACACUCUGUAAAACGCUUUCGGUUAAUGAACACUACAUUGUCUCUACAUUCAGCUGGCGAAGAGAUGAUGAUGACGAGAAGUUAAAAACUUGACUUUUGGGAACUUAAGAAAAAUGCAUUCUAGAUUUGAAAUUUUAAGAUGAGCUGAGAUUUCUUAUACGAAUCUGAAAUUUCAUUAUAAUGUAUUAGACUUUUUCCCGUCUUUUAUUAUUUUUGAUUCAUAAAAUGGUGGAACGACAUAAUAGUUCUGGGAUUAAGAAAUUAUUUAGUAAUCAGAUUUUUUUUAUAUGAUAAUAUUUUUAAACCACAUUUUACAAGAUUUCAACAAGAAAAACCACGGAAAGAAACAAUAAAAUUAUGUGAGUUUGUUUUUCAAACCGAAAGGUUGUGUUUGACAGGUGACAGAAGAAAACAAUAUAAAUCUUGCUUGAAUUGCAUCUUUAAGAGUCACAUCAUUAUGUUAACCAAGCCUCCCUAUCUUCUGCAGGCCGGUUCAAAGCCUUUGGUGUUGCAGCUUCCAGGAAACCAACAUUUACAUUCAGUUUAUACAAUCAAAUCUCUUACUUAGCUACACUAAACUCUGAAGAAGAAAUUUAAUAUGUCCCAAAGAGUUGCUCAUAAGAUUUCUCCUCUUGACGUACAUCUUAUACAUUUUUGAAUGUUUAUUAUUUAGUAAAUGUUUCGUUCAAUUUAUUUUAAAAAUUUUAUUUGCAAGUGAAACACCAAAGAAUAACGAUACUUCCAUCUACCGUUUACUUUGAAACAAAAAUAAAACUUUUAGUAUUUAAAUAUAAGUCUCCUGAGUGUUUGAGCUUAUAGUACUUGGAUAUUUAAAUUGUUUUUCUUGCUGAUCUUCAAAUUUUUAAGAAAUUAUAUAGUUGAAGUUUCCUCGCACUACAAGGAUGAAAAUAACAUUUAAAUCGCACAAGUCAAAAUAGUUGAUAAUACUACACAAUUUCAAUAAAAUAUUUCCUUCAGCGAACUAUCUCAUUGUUUGUUUCCUUAGUAGUUCGGUUGAUCAUUUUAAUUGAUAAUAUUACACAAUUUCAAUUAAAAGUACCAAGUUUUUUUUAAAAAAAAAGGUCACUCAUGGUGAUCAUUUUUUUGUCAACAAUUCAUGGUGAUCUUAAUCAUAAAAAUACCGAAGUCUUAUUUAUUUCGAGAAAGAUAUGGAGGCUUCGAAGGUCCUUAAUAAAGUUGUAAAUAAACCUUUUGUCCUUUAUCCGCCGGGAACAAAAAAACUCAUUCUGUGGAAAGCAAAUAAGACUAUGAAAUUCAACCAGUUACUUAUUAUCUUCAAUCAUUUAGCUACAACAUAUGUUAGGUGUUAGCGUACAUAACUAAUAAAAUAUAAUAUUAGUAUAUUAAAAACAAAAUCCACUCAUCAACCAAUUGUUAUUUGAUAAUAUGAACAAAUACAACUUCAGGUUAUUAAACAACAUAUCUCAACUUCAAAGAGCUACUUUCCCCAUCACAUAAUCUCAUUAGUCCAUAGUUAGUGCCACCAUCAUGGGAGAAUUAAUUUACCAUAUAAACAAUGGUAUCUAAAAUCAAAGUCACGAUAAAAAUAAACAAAUUAACUAAUAUCCCGCCCGUAGGGCGGGCCGACCCUAGUGACCUAUAUAGCAAACAUAAGGGCAUCAUUUACUGAAUAUAAUAGUUCAUUUGUUUCGAGAAAAUUCACACCCCCUUUGUCGUCUCUCUUCAUUAAUUAGAGAAUCACAUAUUUCUCUUCGUUUCACGGGCCAAAAAAUACUAACAAAUGGUGAUAUGCAACUGUCAAAACGCUUUUUUGCACCUGGUGAAGAACCUGUAGGCGAAGGGUUAAUAUGUAUCACAAACCGAAAAGGAUUGAAUCCUUAGUCGACGCUCUAGAUCCAAAAAAGGCUGAAAUCCUUCAUUAUCUGUCAGUUUUGGCCAGUUCGUCAUCGUCUACAUGCUCAUAGUGAAAAAAAAUACGAUAUUUGGUUCCUCUUGUAGGACCAAUUGUAUUAUAAACCCAGUGGGCUGUGUAACAAAUUGGCACUGUGAAUAAAAUUUUAUAAACCCCAAUGGGCUGAGUAAAAUUUUUGAAUUAAUGUGAAGGGUUAUGUGAAUUUAUUUGACUUUUUUUUACAAGCCCAUGGCUGAGUAAAUUGAGUUUGAAUCUUUAAAAUUCAAAGCAAAAAAUAAGAGAAAUUCAAAAAAAUUCAAUAAACUUGGCUCCCAAGUUUAGCUAACUUGGUAACCAAGCUUUUAUACACUGUAAAUACAUCAUACUCCUCUUCACAAAUUGAUCAUCUCAUAACUCACACAAUCAUCUCUCUCACUAGAAAAUAAGCUUUCUCUCACUAAAAAAAACUCUUUAGAUUUUUUCUUCUUUUCAAAGUAAGUGUCUCGAGAGUAUAUCGUAGUAGUUAAGUUCGUAGAUUAUGUUUCGGGUGUUGCGAAACAGUCUCAUCAUGGUUAUAUCCUGGGAUUCAAAAAUCGCAUAAAACCGUCACACAUUACAGGCGGUUUAUUGAGUUAAGGAAAGAGAUCAAAUCUUGAAUCCGUGAAUUUCGUCUAUUUCCUUAAGAUUUUUUAAACGUUUUCAGUCUUUAUAUUAUCGUUCAUAUGCUUUAUGUUUCGUAAUUUUCAAUCAGGAUUUUCGCGGUCCUACAAUCUUAACUCAAUAAAUCCGCUUCUUGCUUAUCGCUUGAAUCGGAUUGAAUAGUGCAAACAAUAUUUUUAAAACGAUUUUAUAAAACGUUUUUUAAAACGAUCUGAAACUGUUCUGCGAACGCUCUUUAGCUAUUCUCAAGAACGUUUUAGAAUAAAAAGACGAAUCAUAUUUAGAAAAUGAUUUACGCGACAUUCUCUGAACGUGUUCGCGAUCUCAUUUUUCUAAAGAAUAUAGCGUUUAAGAAAGCCUUUGGGCGAAUUCUGAAAAAAAACUAUUAAAAGUUUAAGAACGUUUUAAAACGAUUCUGAGAACGACUAUUAAAAAAUUCAAGAACACUUUUAAGUGAUUCUGAGAACGACUAUUAAAAAGUUCAAGAAUGCUUUUAGUUAUUCUGAGAACUGGCUGUUAAAAAGUUCAAGAACGCUUUAAAGCAAUACUGAGAAAGAGUAUUAAAAGUUUAAAAACACCCUUCAGGUGAUUCUGAAAAUGAUUAAUUGCAAUUUAAAAUUGCAUGUUCGAAUUGAAUUUGCAAUACAAACUACGGUUUGUAGUUUGAGAAUAUAUUCAACAAUGUCUUAUAUCCAUGGGGCGAAUUUGAUAAUAUAUUCAACAAUGUCAUAAAGUGAGGAGACAACCCAAACUGGGACUGGUCUACCACUUUGAACGUAACCUACACAAGUUUCGGUUGUACCAAACAACCUUACCGAACUAUAGCUCGACAAGUUCAAUUGAACUGAACUCUAAAAUUAUGGAUAAAUCUUAAAAGAUUGUGUCCAAAUAAUUACAAAAUAUUUCUAUUGAAUAGACCUAAAUCUAAGGAUUGAAAAUUGCGUUCAAAUAAUUAUGGAAUAUUUUGUUAAGACCAAUGAGAUGAUAACUUUAAUCGGGAAUGGUCAUCCACUUGGAUCACACUGUCCCUAUUCCUAGUAAAACCACUAUAUAAAUCUAUAGUGAGUUGAAUACUUCGACGAAACUUUGAGUUUCCAUAUGGACAACAUUAAGGCUUAGAACACAUUCUCAAAAGAAUUUUGCAGUGACAAAUUUUUCUUUUGAUGGACUAUAUGUUUAUCAUAUAAUAGUCAAAGAGCUGUGAUUUUUUAUGCAUGGAGAACGACUUCAUGUAUGUCAUUUAAUUUGAUAUACUAGGUCUAUAGGUAAAUUGGAAAUUUUCCAGUAAAACUUAUCUCUCACAAGCAAAGGCUAUGAGCCAUAUGAGUUGACUGUCAAGUAAGUCAAAUAUGCAAAUCACAAAGUAUAUGAUGUUCACAAUUGGGAACAUAAAACGAAAGUGACUGAGCAAAAAGAACUAGGAAAGCCUAAUGUUCAUAUGAAAUUCAUGAACUUAGCUUUAUAAAGCAUCAUGCUUAAAAGAAGUUCAAUGAAUAGUUUCAAAAAGCUGACACACAUCACAGCAGGACUGGCGAAUGUUGUAGCAAUAUUGGUUUACAUAGAGACAAAGUGAAAUCUCAAACCCAUUUGAUAAAAACUUACAGAUGAAAUGUAGUUUUGGGUCAAUGUUUCAUAACAUAAUGGAACAUAUAUAUGACAACUUAAACGGGAAUAAAUGUUUUUCUAAGAGAAUUAACAUUAUUCCUUAUAAGAAUUGCUCAUUAUUCACUAGAAUCCAAUGAAGUUGCAGAACAAAAGUUCUUAGCAUGCAUGAUCUUGAAUUAACUCAGGAAAUGUGGGGGAGCAUUGCUUACCACAUUCAAACGUUGGCAGAAAGCCAUGUACUUUGAAAAGGUAAUGUACAUUCAUACAAAUACCUCAAAGUGUGGGGGUGCUUCGCAAAAAGUCAUUGUACUAACUCCUAAAAAUGUGGAGGUGCUUAACAAAAGUCAUAGUACUACCUCAUAAAAAAGUUCCAAUUGAACCAAAAACCGUGAAUUGUAUAUUCAUCGGUUAUGCACGCAACAACCGUGCUUAUAGGUUUCUGGUUCAUAAAUCAGAUAUACAGGACAUCCAUGUUAUUACAACCAUGGAGUCAAGGAAUGCAUCGUUCUUUAAACAGAUAAUUCCAGGUAAGGAUAAGCAAUAUCCUAGAUGCAGUCAUGAAGAAAGAGAUGCGAUGAUCUCUGUUAUGAGGCAAGUACUUCUUGCAAUUCUUUAACUGAAGCAGAAGAUGUUGAAGACAAACCUAGACGAAGCAAGAGAGCUCGCAAGGAAAAGUCUUUUGGUGAAGAUUUCAUGAUGGUAUUUCUCGCUGAGAAUGAGCCGAAAUCUUACGUUGAAGCCAUGUCUACACCUGAUGCACUUUCUUUGAAAGAAGCAGUCAAUAGUAAAACAGAUUCUUUAAUGUAGAACCAUACCUACAAAAUAACAGAGUUAUCUCAAGGGUUCAACACUAGGGUGUAGAUGGUUACUUAAUACCAAGUUGAAACUUGAUUGCUCAAUUCAUAAGUGCAAGGCCAAACUUGUGGUGGAAAGGAACAGACAAAAAUAAGGUCUCGCAUUCUUUGGCACAUAUUCUCUAGUGAUGAGAAUAACUUCAGUCAUGAUAUUGAUUGUAAUUGCAGCAUCAGGAGACUUGGAAAUCCAUCAAAUGGAUGUUAAAUCUGCCUUUCUAAACGAAAACUUUAAAAAGGAGAUAUACAUGAAACAACCUGAAAGAUUUGAGAUCUAGGGUUAUGAACACAAAGUCUGCCGACUUGAGUGAAGUCAUUGUAUAAGCUCGUGAAAGCUUUGAAACAACGACAUGAAAAGUUUGACAAUGUUAUAAUGUCAAAUGAAUUAAGCAUCAAUGAGUGUGAUAAUGCAUAUACUUCAAAUAUAUUCCUAGUGGGUAUAUGUUGUGUUUGUACGUUGAUGACAUGCUCAUCAUCGUCACUAAUGGAGAUAUUAUCCAACAAAUCAAGAACAUGCUUCAUAGUCAGUUUGACAUGAAAGACAUGGGCUUGUGGAUCUUAGUCUCAGAAUUAAAAUCACGAAGACUCCUGACGAAAUAAUUUUAUCUCAGGAUCAUUAUGCUGAAAAAAAAAUUCCACUACACUCAACUGCACAUAUUUAGAAACGCAGACGAGUCAGUGUCGCAAGUGGAGUAUGCAAGGGUCAUUGGAAGUCUAACGUACUUAUCCAAUUGUAUAGGACCGAUUUAGCGCAUGCGAUCAACGUAUUAAGUAGCUAUACAAGUAAUCCAAGUAAUACACACUGGAAAGCCAUAACAAGGGUAUUAAAUUAUUUGUGAUACACCAUAAGUUAUAGGCUGUUCUAUGGUAAAGAACAAAGAGUCUUAGAAGGAUAAAGUGAUGCAAACUGGAUAUAUGAAUCUAAGAACUCAAAAUCCAUGAGUGGAUAUGUGUUUACACUUGGAGGUGCAAUAAUAUCUUGGAAAUCUUCCAAAUAAACAUUAUUGGCCAGAUUCCAAAGUAAUCUGAGUUCAUUGCUUUAGUCAAAAAGCUGAAGAAGCAGAAUGGCUUCAUAAUUUUGGAAAAUAUAUCAAUGUGAGAGAAACCACUCCAGCUACGCUUUAGUCAAUUGGCUAUAGCUCGACCAGUGGAUACUCUCUAUAAUGGUAAGUCGCAUCACAUAAGACGACAUAAAACCAUUAAAACUGUGAUCUCAAAACGUCAUCUGACGACCUUAUGGAUUAUUUACCAAAGGUUUAACAUGAGAUUAAGUAUUAAAAUCAUUGAAGGGGACGGGUUUAUUGCCUAUUAAUAAAGGAUGUUUGAUGGAAACCCUACCAACAUGACUGGAGAUCCCAAGAAGUUGGUUCAAAGGGACAACUAAAUCAAACAAAAUCUGAUAAAAGCACUGAAACCUACCCAUAUCCCAAAAUGAUAAUCAGUGCUCCUGUAAAUUUAAGGUUAAACAUUGGCUUUUAAUAAGAUAAGACCAUGACCUUCAUAUACAUGUAUAUAAAGUAUUAUAGGGUACUUUAUUGUGUAUAUGGUAGGUGCACAUGGCAAUCACCUAGUGAGUGUGAAAUGGGGUCGUUUCUAGGAGAACGAAGUUCAGGCUAUACUCUCCAAGUUCACUCAUGACUAACAAGGCAAGUUCACGGCCAAAAUGAACACAAUAGAGAACUAAACUCUACGAGAAAACGCAGAUGUGUUAUAUUUGUUGACUUGGUUUACAUAAAGUUUUGGAGGGUUCAAGACAACAUGUUCACCACCUGAAAAGUAAAUCCGACAAAUAUUAACAAUGAGUAGUUCAAAUCUGGAAAACGCUACUACAUCAUAUACAAUUUAGAUUUUCGCUUAUACUCUCGAAAAGUCUGUCUGCCUAGUCUAGUGUUAGGACUAGUUGUAGAGUCUGUCGAGUCUAAUUAGUCAAUCUAGCCUACUUUUUAGAGUAAUUAUAUUUAUGUGGGGGAUUGUUGGACAAAUUUUAUUAUAAGCCCAAUGGGCUGUGUAACAAAUUGGUAAUGUGAAUAUAAUUUUAUAAGCCCAAUGGGCUGGGUAAAAUUUUGUAUUAAUGUGAAGGGUUAUGUGGAUAUAUAUGACUCAUUUUUACAAACCCAUGGUGAGUAAAUUGAAUUUGAAUAUUUAAAAUUUAAAAACAAAAAAAAAUAGAGAAACUUAGUAGCCAAGUUAGCCAACUUGGUGACUAAGUUAAGCCAACUUGGUGACCAAGUUAAGCCAACUUGGUGACCAAGUUAAGCCAACUUGGUGACCAAGUGCCAACUUGCUGACCAAGUUUAGCCAACUUGGUUUCCAAAUUUAGCUAACUUGGUAACCAAGAUUUUAUCCACUAUAAAUACACCAUACUCGUCUUCACAAAUUGAUCAUCUCAUAACUCACACAAUCAUCUCUCUCACUAGAAAAGAAGCUUUCUCUCACUAAAAAAAAUAUUCUUUAGAUUUUUUCUUCUUUUAAAAGUAAGUGUCUCGAGAGUAUAUCGUAGUAGUUAAGUUCGUAGUUUCUAUUUUGGGUGUUGCGAAACAGUCUCAUCACGGUUAUAUCUUGUGAUUCAAAAAUCACAUAAAACCGUCACAUGUUACGGGUAAUUUAUUGAGUUAAGGAAAGAGAUCAAAUCUUAAGUCCGUGAAUUUGGUCUAUUUCCUUAAGAUUUUUUAAACGUUUUUCAGUCUUUAUAAUAUCGUUCAUAUGCUUUAUGUUUCGUAAUUUUCAAUUUCGCGGUCCUACACCUCUUUGUCGGCAAGCCUGUUAGGAUGUCUUUGCAAGAGUUUUCUUAUGUAGCUAGUCUUAAUUGCAAGAUGAUUUUCAAAAAAAAAAGCCAAGAGGAAAAGGAAGAACCCAACCACAGAAAAGUUAUAUUGGGGUGGACUAUUUGGAACUCUCAAGUUCUACCUUAUAGAUCUAGCUAUCAGAAUAUGGAUGAAAAUAAAGGAUGGUCAAAGACCGGGAUAUGCGUUUGAAGUACACAUGCCUAGCUUUUACAUCUUGUGUUCUACCUCUGACAUCAUAUUUUUCCCCAGAUCAUUUUAGAGCAUGUUGAAAUGAUCCGUGAUUUGGAUGAAUUGUUUGCAUAUCCUUAGGGGAGGUUUACGUUCAAGAUGUUGGCUAUAUGAAACAAAAAGAAAUAUGAAAUUCUACUUAAGAAAGCGAGUGUUGUUGCCAGGAUUUUUGGAUGUGAUUCCUCUUGUAUACAUGGCUAUUGUCCCUCAGAUUAAAGAAGUUGUCCCCCAUAGAGAGUCAGUUGUGCUAAUUGAGUCCGACAUCGAUUCAUAGUCACGGUGUAAUGGCUCGCAAGCAUACCUUUAUUAUUAAAACAUAAGCAAAUUUUAAGACUAACCUUGCAUUGGUAGAUUAAUAAUAAUUUUACCAUUUUGGCUGAUGUGACAAGCUCAAAGCCUUUUUCAACCAUCUUAACUGUUAGACCUUUAAUUACUAGAGAAUUUACAAUAAUUGCCAUUGGUACUUAUAUUACAUAUUUUGUUAAUACACUAUAACAUAUGGUAAAGGAAGAACCCAACCACAACAAAACAAGGUGCUCAUGUCGUCGCCAUCACCACGAACCUUUAACAUUUUCCAGAGAACAGAAAAUAGAACUAAUAGAAAUUUGAUUUAAAAAACCCUGAAUUAUAGGAAAACGACUAUGAUGGCGAUUGCGAUGGCGACGAAGCUCGGGAUCUAGGGUUAGAUGUUUUUCAAUUCCGGGGAUUUGGGAUAUCAAGGGAUAUAGGGUUCAAUGGUUCUCAAGAGGGAUUUGUUCUUCAUCAGAUCGAGGGAUUUGGGGAGUACCCAAAAAGAAGGCAGAUUAAUGAAAGCUGCGGUUUUGAGGUCAACUUGUGGGCAAGGUGGGGAGCAAGAAUGGUCCGAAGAAUAACAUCAAGAAGUUGAAGAUAUAUGUUCCUCAUUUUGAUAACUCUGCUAAUGAAAUGGUUAGUGUCGUGUUUUUCUCUGCUACUAGGUGGGAACUUGGGCUCGGCUUUCUUGGACAAGUUAUAGUCCUACUAGCCCUACAACUGGUCCCUUUAAACCAGUUACAAAGGGCAGGAUUGGAGCUGGAUAAGGUCUUCAUGUUGUUCAUUAUGGGGAAGAGGUCUGAGGAGCGAGUAUGGUCAAGAGUAUACUCAGCAGUGAGGGGACAUAUAUUGGCGUUUGUUUAUGAAAUAGGUAUCAGUGCAGGUGUUGGAAACGCAAAAGACUUGGCUGGAAAUCGUAUAGACAUGUGAUUUUUUUCAUAUUCGGUGAUUGGUGUAAUGGUUUAAAGGUGGACUGGGGAAUCAAUUUAUGUAAUUUUCAUGUCUAUGUGUACGUACAUAACUUAAUAGAUGAAAUUGAA